GAAGAGUAAAUGAGCCAAAAAUUAAAGAUCUAUAUCUUACACACUCCACUACCCUUCAUUGGUCACACACAGAAUUCGUUUUGUUUUGUAUUAGCCAAUAACCACUCAAUCACCUCAUAAUCUUUUCAAGGUGAUAUAGUGAUAUAAGCUUAAAAAUUUUAAACUUGUGUUUCUUGAAAGUUUGAUUUCCAAUUCUGCACACUAUUUUCAAUACGUAUUAAAAUCACUUUCCAUUUUAAGUUACAUUAUCUUAUAUGGGAUUAACAGAUCGGCUACACAAUGAAAAUAUGUCGACAUCAAUCCCAGGCUUGAUAUGUUGAUGGCAUACAACUAUGAGAUCAGAGUGAUGGAAGUUGGAACAUGAGUUGAUUCUUUAGCUUAUAAACCACUCAUAUCCCUUUGACGCCAUUACUGUUGAUGUUGUUACUUUCAGCACCAUGUGAUCUAUUACUACCUUACGAGAACAAGUGUUGGCGAUGCAAAAAGACCACAAUGCACGUGCCAAAGUGAUGUAAAGUUGGCUUAAAGAACUGCUUAUAGCGACCACGGAUAAAGUGUUGCGCACUGCCACCACCCUAGGAUUGUCACCAUAGUAAGCUAGAUUGUUUGUCAUGUAUUAACUAAACAAAAUUUGUAAAUAAAUAACAAAAAUACUAUUAUAAUAUGAUGUUUUUGAUU
This 678-nucleotide long non-coding RNA is filed under the name Helianthus annuus (common sunflower). RNAcentral describes it as "hypothetical non coding rna". Lineage: Eukaryota; Viridiplantae; Streptophyta; Magnoliopsida; Asterales; Asteraceae. The record is from RNAcentral.